RNAcentral lists this long non-coding RNA (1405 nucleotides) under Anas platyrhynchos platyrhynchos (common mallard). RNAcentral's name for it is "lncRNA (ENSAPLG00000019225.1)". The record is from RNAcentral. Lineage: Eukaryota; Metazoa; Chordata; Aves; Anseriformes; Anatidae.
GCAGUCAAAUCAAUAACUUUCUCUGUCUCUGUCUCUUUCUCUCUCUCUUAAAAAGAGCUUGAAGAAUUUUUUCCAUGCAUCAUGAAACUGAUUGCUCAGAAAUGGAAAUUAUUUUGUGAUUUAGACCAGAUCUUGCUGUUGAAAUGUAGCUAAAGUGAUACACUAGAAGUGAAUUCUUGUAUGUUAUGAUUCAGGCUAGAGUGCCUGUAUUUAAACAAUGUUUUUAUUAAAGUAAUGUUUAGGCUAAGUCUCAGAUUUCAGUGAUGCAGAGAUCACAGAAUGCUUGGGUUGGAAGUGACCUUAAACACCAUCUGCUUCCAACCCCCUGCCAUGGGCAGGGACACCUCCCACCAGACCAGGUUGCCCAAAGCCCCAUCCAGCCUGGCCUUGAGCACCUCCAGGGGUAGGGCAUCCACAGCUUCUCCGGACAGCCUGUGUCAGUCCCUCACCACCCCUUGAGUACAGAAUUUCUUCCUUACAUCUAAUCUAAAUCUCUUUUAUUUAAGCUUAAAGCCAUUCCCCUUAGUCCCAUGACUCCACCCCCUGACCAAGAGUCCCUCCCCAGCUUUUGUGUAGGCCCCUGUAAGGUCACCCUGGAUCCUUCUCUUCUCCAGGCUGAACAGCCCCAGCUCUCUCAGCCUGUCUUUGCAGUAGAGGUGCUCUGGCCCUCUGAUCAUCCUUAUGGCCCCCUUCAGGACUUGCUCCAAGAGCUUCGUGUCCUUCUUGUGCUGGGGGCCCUAGAGCUGAACACAGCACUUCAGGUUUUUGGAGCUCUCAAGCCUAUCAGGUCCUACAUCCAGAUAAAUGUCCCAGACCACAUCCUACUGCAAGAUUACUGUUGUUUUUUUCCCAGUCCUGGAGGACGUUACGACUGGUGGUGGUAGCUUACAUUACCGACUGUUCAUAGGCUGUCACAUUCUACCACAGUCCUAAGGUAUCAUAUUUUGAAUUUUAUUUAUUUAUCUAUCUAUCUAUCUAUCUAUCUAUCUAUCUAUCUAUCUGUUUAUUUUAAAUGAAGGAUUCUUUUUAAAUAUGUUUAAUAGCAUAUUCUAAUUCAGUGAGAAACAGAAUAUUGGGUCACUUUUUUCAUUAACAGCUUCAAAAACAGCUUAGUCAAAGAUAAGGACGAGAAUAUAAGCUUUGGUUUCUAAAGAAGUUGACUCAUGAAGUCUAAAUUAGUGGGAACAAAAGAGAUAUUUACCUAAUUUUGUUUACACAUAAUUACUUCCAGUAAUUUUGUUUUCUUGUACCUUCUCUGGUAGUGAAUACUGUAAAGGGUACAAUGAUAAGAGAGUGAGGAACUCCUGUACAGCAUACACUAGUGCUGCUGUUUUACCCAUACCAGCCGUACCCUUUACUGAAUAUAGGUUAUAAUAUUAAAAUAAAAAUUGGAGUAUUUAAGGCA